UACGAAGGGGGCUAGCGUUGCUCGGAAUCACUGGGCGUAAAGCGCACGUAGGCGGAUUGCUAAGUCAGGGGUGAAAUCCUGGAGCUCAACUCCAGAACUGCCUUUGAUACUGGCGACCUUGAGUCCGGGAGAGGUGAGUGGAACUGCGAGUGUAGAGGUGAAAUGCGUAGAUAUUCGCAAGAACACCAGUGGCGAAGGCGGCUCACUGGCCCGGUACUGACGCUGAGGUGCGAAAGCGUGGGGAGCAAACAGG
RNAcentral lists this ribosomal RNA (253 nucleotides) under uncultured bacterium. RNAcentral's name for it is "partial 16S ribosomal RNA". It matches the Rfam family "Bacterial small subunit ribosomal RNA", at positions 524 to 776 of the family's 1533-position model. The record is from RNAcentral.